GGGGAUAUAGCUCAGAGGUAGGGCGCUUGCCUAGCACACUGGAGGCCCUGGGUUCAAUCCCUCGCACAACCA
This 72-nucleotide transfer RNA is filed under the name Mus musculus (house mouse). RNAcentral's name for it is "tRNA-Ala". The record is from RNAcentral. Lineage: Eukaryota; Metazoa; Chordata; Mammalia; Rodentia; Muridae.